AGAGUUUGAUCCUGGCUCAGGACGAACACUGGCGGCGUGCUUAACACAUGCAAGUCGAACGGGAGUACUUUGAAAGCUUGCUGAUAAGUACUUUAGUGGCGGACGGGUGAGCAACGCGUGAGGAGCUGUCUUAUGCAGGGGGACAACAGUUGGAAACGGCUGCUAAUACCCCAUAAGCCGAGAGGUAAAAGGAGCAAUCCGGCAGAGGAGGUACUCGCGUCCUAUCAGCUAGUAGGUUGGGUAACGGCCGACCUAGGCGAAGACGGGUAGCCGGCCUGAGAGGGCGAACGGCCACACUGGAACUGAGAUACGGUCCAGACUCCUACGGGAGGCAGCAGUGGGGAAUAUUGGGCAAUGGGGGGAACCCUGACCCAGCGACGCCGCGUGGGUGAAGAAAUCCUUCGGGAUGUAAAGCCCUGUUGUAUGGGAAGAGCGGAAGACGGUACCAUACGAGGAAGCCCCGGCAAACUACGUGCCAGCAGCCGCGGUAA
Molecule: ribosomal RNA, 491 nt
Filed under: uncultured bacterium
Lineage: Bacteria
Description: bacterial SSU rRNA
Rfam family: Bacterial small subunit ribosomal RNA
Source: RNAcentral